GAUGAACGCUGGCGGCGUGCCUAACACAUGCAAGUCGAGCGAUGAAGUUUCCUUCGGGAAAUGGAUUAACGGCGGACGGGUGAGUAACACGUGGGUAACCUGCCUCAUAGUGGGGAAUAGCCUUCCGAGAGGGAGAUUAAUACCGCAUAACAUCAUUAGAUGGCAUCAUUUAGUGAUCAAAGGAUUUAUUCGCUAUGAGAUGGACCCGCGUCGCAUUAGCUAGUUGGUAGGGUAAUGGCUUACCAAGGCGACGAUGCGUAGCCGACCUGAGAGGGUGAUCGGCCACAUUGGGACUGAGACACGGCCCAGACUCCUACGGGAGGCAGCAGUGGGGAAUAUUGCACAAUGGGGGAAACCCUGAUGCAGCAACGCCGCGUGAGUGAUGACGGUCUUCGGAUUGUAAAGCUCUGUCUUUGGGGACGAUAAUGACGGUACCCAAGGAGGAAGCCACGGCUAACUAC
This 461-nucleotide ribosomal RNA is filed under the name uncultured bacterium. Its description in RNAcentral is "bacterial SSU rRNA". It matches the Rfam family "Bacterial small subunit ribosomal RNA", at positions 28 to 504 of the family's 1533-position model. The record is from RNAcentral.